UCUUCCGAGGGCUCACCCCAUAAUUUGUGUCCCUGUUCCAAGGCUUAACCCAUUCCCUGUUAUGUGAUUGACGCUCCAAAUGACAUUAAACACCUUGUGAGAGAGUGAAAAAAGAGAGAAUAUAAAUAUUAUGAAUGGUGAAAAUGUUGUGAUACAAAGAGAAAUAAAUAACAGGUGUUAACAAUGUGUCAAUAAACUUGGAUGAUGUUUAAAAAUCAUUACUCUUAUUUUAAAAUAUCUAUUUUUUUUUGCUCAUACGAUGUCAUGAUGAAAUUUUAUGCACCCAUGAGUUUACAAUAAAAAUAUGUCACAUAGUAAGAGAAUCACAUGCACAUCACCAUACAUGCUUCAUGACUUAAAUACCAAUUAUAAUUAUAAAGUUCAUAUAUUAUAUUAGGCUCGUGGAACUCACAUGCUAAUAUAUUAGUUCUAAAACAAAUGCUAGUCAAUAGCAUAAGGACAGUGGUAAAAAAAGAAAAUAAAAAUAUUUUUAUUAACAGACAAAAACUUAUACUAAUCAUAAUCUUUUUUUUUACGUUCUCAUUUAAUUUAUAUAUUUUAAUUCUUUAAUUAAUAUUCUAAAGAUACUGCCGAAUCAAACAAAGAUUAAAGAGUGUGUUAGUAGGAAAAGGGUAACCUUUGGUUCCAACCAAGACACCAGAGAUGAGUUCUGUGAAUAAUCUUGGAACAUUGUUGGCUCGUCUUACCUCUAUGCUGAACACACGUUCACCUCUGAUUCCAUGUUUUCAC
Molecule: long non-coding RNA, 750 nt
Filed under: Glycine max (soybean)
Lineage: Eukaryota; Viridiplantae; Streptophyta; Magnoliopsida; Fabales; Fabaceae
Description: long non-coding RNA (GMAX_LNC004414)
Source: RNAcentral